GAGGCGGAGGCGGGCGGCUGUAAACAAACACUGCGGAGGCCAUGGUGGCGGUGGUGGUAGUUUGUGGUGGUGGUCGUGGAGGGGUGGUCGCUGCUGUUUUGUUGCUGUUGUGACAAGGCCGAAGGGCAGGAGCCUGAGUGCCUCCCCGCUGUCAGGGCUGCGGGAGCAGAUCGACCUGUGAGCGGACUGGCUGCGCAGAUGGAUGAUAGCAAGGUGGUUGGAGGCAAAGUAAAGAAACCAGGCAAGCGAGGUCGUAAACCAGCCAAAAUAGACUUGAAGGCAAAGCUUGAAAGGAGUCGUCAGAGUGCAAGAGAGUGCAGAGCCAGGAAAAAGCUGAGGUACCAGUACCUGGAAGAGCUGGUUUCAAGCAGAGAGAGAGCCAUCUGUGCUCUCAGAGAAGAGCUUGAAAUGUACAAGCAGUGGUGCAUGGCAAUGGACCAAGGGAAAAUCCCCUCUGAAAUAAAAGCCCUACUAACUGGAGAGGAGCUGGGCAAAGCACAGCAGAACUCAACCAAACUUGCCAAGACUGGGAAGACAGAAACAAACAGCAGCAAUCCCUGAGUUGAAUUCAGAACCAUCAGCACUGCAGGACAGAUAGCUUGGUAGCUAGCAGAAGAAUGCUGUUAUCAGAGAAGCAGAUGGAUCCCUGGGUGCAGGGGGAAGGAUCCCAGUCUACUGUCUUCUCUUUGCUCCUCUCCACGUGAAGCUCUUUGGUGGUGGUAUUUCAAAAUCUGCAUGGAGUGGGGCUUUUGAGAGGCGCAACUAUAGUCUUCCACUCUGGUCCAGAUGCUGUAUUUUGUCACAAGCUGUAGGACUCCUAGCAAGAAUCAUUGGAUACGGUUCAGUGGCUUCUGUCACAGGGCUAAAUAGGGCCAGCUCUCACAGCUGUUCCUCAUAGAGCAGAUGCUCCACUCCUCUCAUCAUCUUAAUAGCCCUACAUUGGACUCUCUCCAGUAGCUCCAUGUCUCUCCUGUACUGGGGAGCCCAGAACUGGACACAGUACUCGAGAUGUGGCCUCACUGGGGCUGAGUAGAGGGGCAGGAUCACCUCCUUGGACCUGCUGGCAACGCUCUUCCUAAUGCAGCCCAGGAGACCAUUGACUUUCUUGGCCACAAGGGCACAUUGCUGGCUCGUGGUUAACCUGUCAAAUAGGACCCCCAGGUCUAGUAUAUGACUCAGAGUAAGCAAGUAUGUGAUUGCACUGAGCCUUUUGGAGGAUUUAACCCGAAGAGUUAACAGGUAACAGAAACCUGGUAAAAAACAGUAGUAAGUUUUGCCUUUUUUCAUCUCUCAUAUGUCUGAUGCAUGGAAUCCCAAAAAAUGAAAUGAAUACAUUUUAUAGACCUGUCACUUAACAGAACAUUUUGCCUAAUCAUAAGUUAAAAAAAAAAAAAGGCCAUCAAUCAUGGUCUGCUUUCAUAAUCUGAUAGUAAGUGUUCACCAAAGAAUCUGUAUUCCUUUAAGUGCUUUUCAAAAGACUGUUAUAAUAGAAGCUUCUUAAAAUGUAUUAGAUACAUUUCAGAAAGCUUUUUCCGUUUUUGAGAGAUGAAAUCGUGGCUAGCUUUGGGAGAGUGCCUGUGACUUCCCCCCUCACCCCUCUUCUAAAAUUUUAAAGUGAAGGUUAGUCUAACUCAGUGAAUCUAGUUCUGCCUGAUACCCUCUGAAAAGACAGAGAAAACAUUGUCGUUGCAAGUGCUACUUUAUAAUCUCUAUUAUUAGCUAUAAAAUUACUGUUAAUAUAACAAGUGUGUGAGACUAGUUAAAAAUGUAGAUUACAGAGUGAAAUAUAACCCUUAAUCCAUCUCAUUAAGCUGCAGAGUUGCAGCAUGAGCGAUAGAAGAUCAGGUGGUGUAGAAAUCCCUGCUGUAGGUAAGGAAAGCAAAACACUAGCUGUAAGCUUCCUGUUUUUAAUGUUAUAGAGUAUUAAUUUCAGUUCUGUGAAUAACUGAUCUUCUUUUAUGACUCCAUUUAUGUUCUCCUCUUAUUAGGACACAGAGUUCUUUAAUCUGCAGUAAAAUCUGAGGUCUUCCAUACUGAAUAGUGUAUCGAUGGGCUAAAGUUCAACAGAUGCUGUUUUUAUGGAAUGUGUAGAUUUGUGUAGAUACAUAAGAAGAAUUUGCAGCAUCAGUUAUAACCCAUUCCUGAAGCAAUUUCUGCAAGUGCUGUUGCUCUAUAUUGUUUAUACUAUCACUUGUAUUUUCCUAUCUUACCUACUUCAAAUUUGUAACUAGGAAAUGCUAACUGUGUAGCUUCACUGUGUAGCUAACUAUUUGCUACAAUAUUUCAUUAAAAAAACCAAAACAACCGGUUUUCUUU
This is an RNA transcript of Rhea pennata, 2316 nucleotides long. It is a transcript of the gene named cAMP responsive element binding protein like 2, with no coding region annotated. NCBI's taxonomy places the organism in Eukaryota, Metazoa, Chordata, Aves, Rheiformes, Rheidae. The record is from RefSeq and is a predicted model, not a curated record. The transcript has 6 exons.